UUAUUGGAAAUAUGAUAUUGUUAUUCUCAUUUAAUCUUAUGUCAUGGUUAUCAAUGCUAGCAUGAUUUUGUUACAUUGAUAUGCUUGCACCAAGUAUUGCCUUGCCUCACAUGUUAUAACUUUUCACUUGAGAAGCUUGGUGUUAUUUGUUGGUUAAUGUAUUUGUAUGUUGCAUGCUCAUUGAUGCGUCCAUGUUAAUAAUGCUCAUAAUGUUAAUGAUGAUGGAGAGGAUAAUAAUGUGACUCAAUAAUAAUAAACCUCCUAAGCUAUCCAUGGGAACGAGUCAUAGUGCCACCAAACCGAGCUUAUUCAGUGCAUCCACAUUUGCCUUUAUGGAAAGGUCCUAAUUUUGUCUAUUGUCAUGCCUCACACGGGUGCAUCCCACUGGCGAUGGUUAUGUGCUCACACUACCCUUUCCUGGAAGGCAGAAAUAACCUUGUGUGCCCAUGUUGGUAUUGAGGUCAUAUCCCUGUUUGGGAACGUUUUGUUUUGCCACCACAAUGGGCGGUGGAUGUCUAGAGUGGCAUCGGGACCAACCACGACUUAGCCCAAAGGGGAGUUUGUUGGAGUGGCCGGGAUAGUGUCAUACAAUAGAUCAGGUUUGUUGGAAUGCCGUUGGUCCACUCGAAUGGGAGCACGAGGCCUUGGAUUCCCUAGUGUGGUUAUAGUGUACUAACCUCUGCAGAGUGUAUUACCCAUAGUCGCGUCCUCGUACAUGGAUAAAGUUCCUACUAGGUCACACUAUUAGGUUUUUGUCGACAUGGAGGAUAAAUCUGAUAUAAUUAAUUUGAUAAGUAAUUUGCUAUAAGUAAAUGAUGACUUGGACUAUGAGAUAGUCGCAAGAGGUCACAGAGUUGUUUCGGACAAAGAUCACGCGAUGAAAUCUUGAUGAUUCAUGAGUUGGACUUGACUAGCAGUGGCAGUAAAGGUGAUGGAUGAACCGUAUGUUAUUCUUAUUCUUCACGGAAGGUAAAUGGUAGUUUACUUUUCAGUAUAGUUUCAUUCACUUCUCCAUGUCUUGUAGAUACAAUUAUUCAAUGCCAUGCUAUUAGUGAAAUGCCAUGAUAUGCCCUGUUAUGAUAUGCUAUGCUAUGCCUUGUUAUGACAUUCCCAUGUUACAAUAUGUUAUCAUAUGUCAAUGCUUACUUUGACUCAUGUGAAUACCAUAUCAUACUUAGCUAUUAUUAUGAGUUAUGUUCAUAUGUGCGCAUGGGACUUGCUUUGUCCUUUGUUUGUUUGGAUACUAUGUAUUUGGUUGUCUUGCAAGUACAUUUAAAGUAUCCACCUCGCCUUUCACAUGGUCAGUGUGCACAACAAAAUUUGUUAAGCUAGCCCCAAUCUUGCUAGUCCUAUGAGUUUUGGAGCCCAUCCAGAGUCGACUUGCCAUCAAAUCCAAACUUUUGCCACCAUUUAGAUAAUUGUAGAGGUGUGCCACUCAUUGUAUUCAUGACAAUGUAAUGCUCUAUGCCAUGUAAAUAAUAAAUAUUUUGUGCUUGAGUUGUUGUAUCAUGUACCUAUCGUGCUUCAGGUGUUAUCCUAGGUUGACGUACUUCAUACGGAUCAGGCUGCCACAACAUGUGAGGGAAGUAUUUCCACUACAAAAAAAUAUGCUCAUACAUGACGUUUUCUAAGACGUCGUUGAUGAAUUCGUCAUAAAUCUAUGACGAUUUAAUCCGAGAUUGUCGUAAACCGUUUGAGGGAUCAAAUCUACAUAUAAAUUACGACGAUGUGAGUCAAAAAUGUUGUAACCGCAUAAGAUGAGAUCGUCAUAACUUUUACGACGAUUAUCAAAAUGUCGUAACAUGUAUUAACUAUGUUCACAUGUCCCUCGUCGGUCCAUUUUAUCCCACCUCAUCCAUGUAUUGAACUGUUUUAUAUCAUUUUUCUAUUGGACUAUUUUUUCCAUCUUACUUUUAUAUUGGACUGGUAUUUUAUCCUUCAUGCUUGUUAAUGGGCUAGUUUGUGGUUUGUCAAAAAGGCCCAUAUUUUAAGAUUGUAAUAUUAUGCAUAAAAGCUAUCUAAAAAAUAACUAUCAAAACUUCCCUCCAAUAUAGUGACCACAUUCAUGGCACGGGCUUGUAAUUUUUUUCUUC
RNAcentral lists this long non-coding RNA (2093 nucleotides) under Hordeum vulgare. Its description in RNAcentral is "long non-coding RNA (HVUL_LNC018990)". The record is from RNAcentral. Lineage: Eukaryota; Viridiplantae; Streptophyta; Magnoliopsida; Poales; Poaceae.